CUGGCGGCGUGCCUAACACAUGCAAGUCGAGCGAGGAGAUUCCUCGGGAUGAUCCUAGCGGCGGACGGGUGAGUAACACGUGGGCAACCUGCCUCAUAGAGAGGAAUAGCCUUCCGAAAGGGAGAUUAAUACCUCAUAACAUUGCAGUUUCGCAUGAAACAGCAAUUAAAGGAGCAAUCCGCUAUGAGAUGGGCCCGCGGCGCAUUAGCUAGUUGGUGAGGUAACGGCUCACCAAGGCGACGAUGCGUAGCCGACCUGAGAGGGUGAUCGGCCACAUUGGGACUGAGACACGGCCCAGACUCCUACGGGAGGCAGCAGUGGGGAAUAUUGCACAAUGGGGGAAACCCUGAUGCAGCCAACGCCGCGUGAGUGAUGACGGCCUUCGGGUUGUAAAGCUCUGUCUUCAGGGACGAUAAUGACGGUACCUGAGGAGGAAGCCACGGCUAACUACGUGCCAGCAGCUGC
Molecule: ribosomal RNA, 465 nt
Filed under: uncultured bacterium
Lineage: Bacteria
Description: bacterial SSU rRNA
Rfam family: Bacterial small subunit ribosomal RNA
Source: RNAcentral